Molecule: ribosomal RNA, 301 nt
Filed under: uncultured bacterium
Lineage: Bacteria
Description: partial 16S ribosomal RNA
Rfam family: Bacterial small subunit ribosomal RNA
Source: RNAcentral
CAGUCGCCGCGGGAAUACGUAGGUGGCAAGCGUUGUCCGGAAUUAUUGGGCGUAAAGGGCUCGCAGGCGGUUUCUUAAGUCUGAUGUGAAAGCCCCCGGCUCAACCGGGGAGGGUCAUUGGAAACUGGGAAACUUGAGUGCAGAAGAGGAGAGUGGAAUUCCACGUGUAGCGGUGAAAUGCGUAGAGAUGUGGAGGAACACCAGUGGCGAAGGCGACUCUCUGGCCUGUAACUGACGCUGAGGAGCGAAAGCGUGGGGAGCGAACAGGAUUAGAUACCCCUGUAGUCCCUGUCUCUUAUAC